Molecule: long non-coding RNA, 201 nt
Filed under: Vitis vinifera (wine grape)
Lineage: Eukaryota; Viridiplantae; Streptophyta; Magnoliopsida; Vitales; Vitaceae
Description: long non-coding RNA (VVIN_LNC008053)
Source: RNAcentral
UCAUGAGUCAAUCGCCCAAGUCAAUAAGAUCAGGGACUGCUGGUGAAGGAGCGUCUGCAUGCAUGGCCUGAGCUGAGAUAGGAAUAGGAAACAUAUCAAACUGAGGAUGCCCAAAUGUCCCAGAAUCAACAAUGUCCUGUAUGGCAUGUCGUAGAGCAGUGCAACGAUCAGUGUGAUGUCCUGCUGACUGGUGGUACGCAC